RNAcentral lists this ribosomal RNA (399 nucleotides) under Phyllomedusa distincta (Sao Paulo leaf frog). RNAcentral describes it as "partial 16S ribosomal RNA". It matches the Rfam family "Bacterial large subunit ribosomal RNA", at positions 1967 to 2515 of the family's 2925-position model. The record is from RNAcentral. Lineage: Eukaryota; Metazoa; Chordata; Amphibia; Anura; Hylidae.
ACUUGUUCUUUAAAUGAGGACUAGUAUGAAUGGCAUCACGAGGGUUACACUGUCUCCUUUUCUUAAUCAGUGAAACUAAUCUCCCCGUGAAGAAGCGGGGGUAAACCUAUAAGACGAGAAGACCCUAUGGAGCUUUAAACUUCUCAACAAUUAUCUCCAUGUUUUUAAACCUCCAGAGCAGUAAAACUAACCUAGAUAAUAUGUCUGUAAGUUUUCGGUUGGGGUGACCGCGGAGCAAAAUACAACCCCCGCAAUGAAUUAGAACCCAAUUUCUAAACAAAGAGUUACAACUCUUAGUAUCAAAAAAUUGACAUAAUUGACCCAACACUUUGAUCAAUGAACCAAGUUACCCUAGGGAUAACAGCGCAAUCCAUCUCAAGAGCUCUUAUCGACAGAUGG